AGUGCCAGUGGUCUGGUGUGCGGCCUUCAAACCCGUAGCAGAUGAGAGUCUGAGUGCUUCGAUUUCAC
Non-coding RNA from Caerostris extrusa, 68 nucleotides. Lineage: Eukaryota; Metazoa; Arthropoda; Arachnida; Araneae; Araneidae. The record is from the annotation of a GenBank genome assembly.